AAAGAUCUGGGUGCUAAGUGUGCUGCUUGCUGUUGGGGUGUCAUCACUUCUAAACCUUCGCCACCGACAACAAGGAAAUACAUGGGUGUGCAGAUCUUCCUCAGCUGACAGUGGGGUGAUGUCCUAAAAAACCCAUGGAUGUCCUUGGAACCACAGUAGAGGGGACGGCCAUGGCCAGCGCAACCCAGCGAAAAGCCCUUGUAGCUGCCACAACGAAUCAGAGGUCAACCAAUCGCCGAGCGACAGCACGACCUGACGCGAAAAAGGCCCACCCGGACCUAAACCCCGAACCGCUGCAGCUUAAAAACCUCACCCCACCACACCUGGGGGCGACUUCCCUGACUCCUCCCUCUCUCUCUCUCUCUCUCUCCCUGAGUCAGGGAACCUCGCCGGAGACCUUAGUUCCCAAAUAAAGCCUUUGACUCCUAACAUUUUUUAGCCUCUGACUCCUAUCUUUACCCUGCCUUACGCCUGACCCUAACAUUUGGUGCCAAAACCCGGGAGGAGGUAGUAGCUCGCCUCCCUUGGCUGAGCUCCCUCCUCGCCAAGCCAGAGGCCAACACCCUACUCUCAAGCGCCUACAGGAGCCGGUAAGUAGGACAGACCCCUCCUUCCCUCCUCCAACUACGGCUGACACCCACGGGAGACGUCUCGCAAGUCAGUCUCCUUUCCUCCGCACGCGCAAGGCCCCUUAUUGCAGCGCGAGGGACGCCUCGCCCUGCCACGCCCAUGGGGAGUAACGAGUCUAAACCGCCUCCAUCUCUUACCCCCCUCCAACGUCUGUUAAAAAUUCCCGCUUCUGGGCUUACAAGGCAAACUUCGUCGCAACCGGCUCAUCCGCCUUCGCACUGUAGUCUGGCCUCAGUACAAAUUAGAUAAUGAUUCUCAAUGGCCACCCGAGGGGUCUUUACAAUACCAAGUCUUAACCGAUCUGGACACUUUCUGCCCUCGGCGGGGAAAAUGGGGAGAAAUACCCUACGUCAUGGCCUUUUGGGACCUCAGGUCUCGCCCCACCCUAUGUUCCUCCUGCCCCUCUGCACGCGUGCUCCUUGCCCACCCACGACCCCCGCCGAGGACCCCACCUCACCAACUUCCCCGAUCUCCCACCCGUUAGAGGAUCUAGCCACGCCGCCCGCCGGCCCUCGCCCCCCCUCCGUACCCCCAACCCCCAGCCGUCCCGCCCUCGCCUCCCAUAUCAUCCCGAACUCGUGCUCAGGCCCCUCCCAGCGGACAGACCCCAGCGGCCAUCUUACCUCUCCGCCAGGUGGCAGGGCCUGAAGGCCUGGUUCGCGUUCACGUCCCCUUCUCCCUCCAAGACUUAUCCGCCAUUGAAAAGCGGCUAGGGUCAUUCUCGGCUGACCCCACCCAAUACAUUAAGGAAUUCCAAUACCUUGCCCAAGACUACAGUCUCACGUGGCAUGACAUCCAGAGAAAUCAUGUCCAAUUGAAGGUUCUAUAGAAGCUCCUCAUUUGCACCAUUCAGUGGAUUAUAAAAUAUGUGCAUUUCCUUUGCACAUUCAUGAAGGUCUCCAUCGAUAACAUUUCCAUGUCCCCCAGUUGGAAGGUUGGGUCUCUCCAGUCAAUAUUGAUUGAUUUGCCUCAUUUAUCAUAGUUUAGCUGCUCAACAAAUAUGUCAAAUAUGUCGAUUUGAUUUAAGAAAAUCUAUUUUAUGAAAACCCCAAGUUCUAUAAUGGGCUGCCAGCUACCCUCACCCAAACUGGAGUUCACAGACAUGGGGAAAAGACCAGGAGCAAACACACACUGAGGACAUCUUCAAGUAUCAAGUAUCCCAUGGCUUCAGGGCACCUGGGUGGCUCAGUCAGUGAUGAAAUAACACAGAUAUUCUGAGCAGAUACUCUCCAGUGAUGACUUACGGUUAGGGGUUCAUUUGGGAAAUUGUCUGAAACUGCCCAAAAGGCCCAGAUUCUGAAUUCCUAAGGUAAAGCUGACUUAGUGGUUGGUGAAUGGCACUAUCAUGCUUUUUCCUUAAUCUUAAUGCAUUGUCUUGCUAAAUGCAACAAUUUUGUAGUUAAAGUUAAUAGCGUAGCAUCAUAGGAUCUUAGAUGUACAAAGUGUCUCAAGUAUACCUUACAGUUUCCAAGAUGUGCUGAGCUUUGAUGGCAUAGGAUGAAGGCUUCAAUGAGAUGAUUGCCUCUGGAAUUGGGUCUGAAGUUGAGUUCCCAUCUCUUUCACUGGGUAAGGCUUGUCUUAUAUUUGCAUUUUUACACACUUUGUCUUAUUAAGGCUGAUACAUUAUAGCCCGCCACUUAAAUUCAAUAUGUCAUUACAUCUUCCUCUAGAUGUGUUUCUAACCCAUUUUUGUCUUGAUAGAAGUCUAUUUGUUUCUGGGGCGCCUGGGUGACUCAGUCAGUUAAGCGUCUGACUUCAGCUCAGGUCAUGAUCUCACUGGUUGUGGGUUCGAGUCCGGCCUCAGGCUCUGUGUUGACAGCUCAGAACCUGGA
Felis catus (domestic cat) is the source of this 2462-nucleotide long non-coding RNA. RefSeq lists it as uncharacterized. Lineage: Eukaryota; Metazoa; Chordata; Mammalia; Carnivora; Felidae. The record is from RefSeq and is a predicted model, not a curated record. The transcript is spliced from 6 exons.